ACGAUCUCGCGUUGCUCGUCCCCGCGUGGAAGCUCUGGAAUCGCCAUCGGGAGUCGUUACAUCAGUCUCCGCGUGGCCGUGCCGUCUCUUCGCCGCCGUCGGAAUCGAGAUUCACUGUCUCGGAGCUUCAACGCGACCAAGCUUCUUCGUCGCUUCUCGUCAUCGGCUUCUCCACCACGGGAUCUCUGGUCCAAGUCAUCUUCGCGUCGUGGCCGUGCUCUUCCUCGCUGUAGUAAGCUCUCCGUCGUGUUCUCAGCCUCCGCCGUCAACGGAAUCGCCAGUGCUUCAGUCGCAGGUGAAAGCUCGAGGAGCAGAAAUGGUGGAAUUUGGGGGUUUUGCACAUCUGGCCCUUGACGUUUCAGACAAUUACAAUUUGACCCCAAAACUAUCAAAAGAGCAGAAAGGUCCACCCGAAUCAACCC
Molecule: long non-coding RNA, 422 nt
Filed under: Brassica napus (rape)
Lineage: Eukaryota; Viridiplantae; Streptophyta; Magnoliopsida; Brassicales; Brassicaceae
Description: long non-coding RNA (BNAP_LNC014974)
Source: RNAcentral